AUGCUCAAAGGUGCACGUGGAUUACCCGUGACGGCAAUAGUUCAAUACACAUUUGACAAGAUGAAUGCGUACUUUGUAAAGUACUCGAUAGAAACCGAUGCACAAAUAGCGGGUGAGAACCCACGGAAGUACAAGUACAAGUUCCCACCCAAAGUUGAUGAAUGGUUGGUAUUUCAAUCACGGAAGGCGGACUCAGAAGAAGCUAUAUUAUAUGACAACGAAGAGUGGAAGUACGAAGUGAAAGAGCCAGGAGGAACCACAAACGAUGGCCGGCAACAUGGGGGUCGGGCUUUCAAGGUGUCGUUAACACAAUGUGAUUGCACUUGCGGGAGGCCAUUGUUGCUUCAUCUCCCAUGCUCACACUUGUAUACCGCCGGUCGCGUUAGGAAUGUGGACAUCAAUCACCCACGCACCGUGAAGGAGUCGGAGUUCUCAAUCAUGAUGGUCAAGAAAACAUGGGAUCCCCGCUUUCACCCAUACUUUGACCAAUCACAAUGGCCGGAGUAUCAUGGAGUUCAACUAUGGCCGGAUCCGGAGUUGAAGGUUGUUAAACGGGGUAGACGUAAGACAAAGCGUCUUAGAGGCGACAUGGACGGAUGGGGCCAUGCUGGCCGCCGCGAAGCGGGCAACGACCAAUUCCAAGAGCCUCGUGAGAGCUCCCGUUGUGGGGAGUGCAAAUUUCAUGGCCACAACAAAAGAAAAUGUACAAAACCAAGGAAAAGGUCCAAGAAAAAUGAUGCAAGCACAAGCCAACAAGGAGCUACACAAGGGAGCCAACCAAGUGGUAGCCAACAAGUGGUAGCCAACCUAGUGGUAGCCAACAAGUGCCAAGGCAACCAAGUGGUAUCCAACAAGUGCCAAGCCAACCAAGUGUUAGCCAAAGAGGAUCUAGGCAACAAAGAGGUCAGCAACUAG
This 915-nucleotide ribosomal RNA is filed under the name Triticum aestivum (bread wheat). Its description in RNAcentral is "partial small subunit ribosomal RNA". The record is from RNAcentral. Lineage: Eukaryota; Viridiplantae; Streptophyta; Magnoliopsida; Poales; Poaceae.